UACGAAUGGAGCGAGCGUUGUUCGGAAUCACUGGGCGUAAAGCGUGCGCAGGUGGUCGUGAAAGUUAGAAGUGAAAGCCCAGGGCUUAACCCUGGAAUUGCUUUUAAAACUCCACGACUAGAGUACUGGAGGGGUUGGCGGAAUUUCGAGUGUAGCAGUGAAAUGCGUAGAUAUUCGAAGGAACACCGAUGGCGUAGGCAGCCAACUGGACAGUAACUGACACUCAUGCACGAAAGUAUGGGGAGCAAACAGG
RNAcentral lists this ribosomal RNA (253 nucleotides) under uncultured bacterium. Its description in RNAcentral is "partial 16S ribosomal RNA". It matches the Rfam family "Bacterial small subunit ribosomal RNA", at positions 524 to 776 of the family's 1533-position model. The record is from RNAcentral.